CCGGCGACCGGCGCACGGGUGAGUAACACGUAUGGAACCUGCCCGCAGCAGGGGGAUAAGCGGAAGAAAUUCCGUCUAAUACCGCGUAACAACGUUGGGAGGCAUCUCCCGAUGUUUAAAGAUUUAUCGGCUGCGGAUGGCCAUGCGGCGCAUUAGCUAGUCGGCGGGGUAACGGCCCACCGAGGCGACGAUCAGUAGCCGGCCUGAGAGGGUGGACGGCCACAUUGGGACUGAGACACGGCCCAAACUCCUACGGAAGGCAGCAG
This 266-nucleotide ribosomal RNA is filed under the name uncultured bacterium. Its description in RNAcentral is "partial 16S ribosomal RNA". It matches the Rfam family "Bacterial small subunit ribosomal RNA", at positions 88 to 354 of the family's 1533-position model. The record is from RNAcentral.